Molecule: ribosomal RNA, 301 nt
Filed under: uncultured bacterium
Lineage: Bacteria
Description: partial 16S ribosomal RNA
Rfam family: Bacterial small subunit ribosomal RNA
Source: RNAcentral
CAGUCGCCGCGGUAAUACGAAGGGGGCUAGCGUUGUUCGGAAUUACUGGGCGUAAAGCGCACGUAGGCGGAUAUUUAAGUCAGGGGUGAAAUCCCGCAGCUCAACUGCGGAACUGCCUUUGAUACUGGGUAUCAUGAGUAUGGAAGAGGUUAGUGGAAUUGCGAGUGUAGAGGUGAAAUUCGUAGAUAUUCGCAGGAACACCAGUGGCGAAGGCGGCUAACUGGUCCAUAACUGACGCUGAGGUGCGAAAGCGUGGGGAGCAAACAGGAUUAGAUACCCGUGUAGUCCCUGUCUCUUAUAC